UAGGUGAACCUGCGGAGGGAUCAUUGCUGGAACGCGCUUCGGCGCACCCAGAAACCCUUUGUGAACUUAUACCUAUUUGUUGCCUCGGCGUAGGCCGGCCUCUUCACUGAGGCCCCCUGGAAACAGGGAGCAGCCCGCCGGCGGCCAACUAAACUCUUGUUUCUAUAGUGAAUCUCUGAGUAAAAACAUAAAUGAAUCAAAACUUUCAACAACGGAUCUCUUGGUUCUGGCAUCGAUGAAGAACGCAGCGAAAUGCGAUAAGUAAUGUGAAUUGCAGAAUUCAGUGAAUCAUCGAAUCUUUGAACGCACAUUGCGCCCUCUGGUAUUCCGGAGGGCAUGCCUGUUCGAGCGUCAUUUCAACCCUCAAGCCUGGCUUGGUGAUGGGGCACUGCCUUCUAACGAGGGCAGGCCCUGAAAUCUAGUGGCGAGCUCGCUAGGACCCCGAGCGUAGUAGUUAUAUCUCGUUCUGGAAGGCCCUGGCGGUGCCCUGCCGUUAAACCCCCAACUUCUGAAAAUUUGACCUCGGAUCAGGUAGGAAUACCCGCUGAACUUAAGCAUAUCAAUAAGCGG
RNAcentral lists this ribosomal RNA (570 nucleotides) under Diaporthe phaseolorum. RNAcentral's name for it is "eukaryotic LSU rRNA". The stretch from base 201 to 354 matches the Rfam family "5.8S ribosomal RNA". The record is from RNAcentral. Lineage: Eukaryota; Fungi; Ascomycota; Sordariomycetes; Diaporthales; Diaporthaceae.